AUGGAGAGGACGAUCACGGAGCACGAGGGGGACCCAGGAAAGGACGACGGCGAGGCUCCGGACCUCCUGGACGACUUGCUCUUGAUCGCCAAGGAUGGUGACCAGGGGUUUAAGCUGGAUCGGAUCGAUGUGAAGGGAGUCAUCUUGGACAUGUUCAUAGCAGGCACCGACACGACCUACAAGACGAUAGAAUGGACCUUGGCCGAGCUCAUGAAGAAUCCAAGAGAAAUGGCAAAGGUGCAAUCAGAGGUGAGACAGGUUGCUGCAGGCGCGCAUGGAGGAGUCCUCGAGGAGGAGCUGGAAAAGAUGAACCUCCUACAGGCGGCCAUGAAGGAAACAUUGCGGUUACACCCGCCGGUGCCGCUCCUCAUCCCACGCGAAUCCAUUCAGGAUGCACAGCUACACGGCUAUGACAUCCCGGCCAAGACCCGGGUCAUGGUCAACACGUGGGCCAUAGGGAGGGACGGCGAGUCGUGGGAGAACGCCGAAGAGUUCCGGCCAGAAAGGUUCCUCGGCAGGACCAUCGACUACAAUGGCAAGGACCCUCGGUUCCUACCGUUCGGCGCGGGAAGGAGGGGGUGCCCCGGUAUUGCCUUUGGGACACGCCUCGCAGAGCUCACGCUGGCUAACAUGAUGUACCAUUUCGACUGGGAGCUACCGGAUGGCGAGGAUCCCGAGUCAUUUGAGGUUGUUGAGUCCAGUGGCUUGUCGCCUGGCCUUAAGUCUGCCUUGAUCCUUGGUAUAAAACCUCUGUAA
RNAcentral lists this ribosomal RNA (756 nucleotides) under Triticum aestivum (bread wheat). RNAcentral's name for it is "partial small subunit ribosomal RNA". Lineage: Eukaryota; Viridiplantae; Streptophyta; Magnoliopsida; Poales; Poaceae. The record is from RNAcentral.